RNAcentral lists this ribosomal RNA (823 nucleotides) under human gut metagenome. Its description in RNAcentral is "bacterial SSU rRNA". It matches the Rfam family "Bacterial small subunit ribosomal RNA", at positions 338 to 1164 of the family's 1533-position model. The record is from RNAcentral.
CCUACGGGAGGCAGCAGUGAGGAAUAUUGGUCAAUGGACGCAAGUCUGAACCAGCCAUGCCGCGUGCAGGAUGACGGCUCUAUGAGUUGUAAACUGCUUUUGUACGAGGGUAAACGCAGAUACGUGUAUCUGUCUGAAAGUAUCGUACGAAUAAGGAUCGGCUAACUCCGUGCCAGCAGCCGCGGUAAUACGGAGGAUUCAAGCGUUAUCCGGAUUUAUUGGGUUUAAAGGGUGCGUAGGCGGUUUGAUAAGUUAGAGGUGAAAUUUCGGGGCUCAACCCUGAACGUGCCUCUAAUACUGUUGAGCUAGAGAGUAGUUGCGGUAGGCGGAAUGUAUGGUGUAGCGGUGAAAUGCUUAGAGAUCAUACAGAACACCGAUUGCGAAGGCAGCUUACCAAACUAUAUCUGACGUUGAGGCACGAAAGCGUGGGGAGCAAACAGGAUUAGAUACCCUGGUAGUCCACGCAGUAAACGAUGAUAACUCGUUGUCGGCGAUACACAGUCGGUGACUAAGCGAAAGCGAUAAGUUAUCCACCUGGGGAGUACGUUCGCAAGAAUGAAACUCAAAGGAAUUGACGGGGGCCCGCACAAGCGGAGGAACAUGUGGUUUAAUUCGAUGAUACGCGAGGAACCUUACCCGGGCUUGAAAGUUAGCGACGAUUCUUGAAAGAGGAUUUCCCUUCGGGGCGCGAAACUAGGUGCUGCAUGGUUGUCGUCAGCUCGUGCCGUGAGGUGUCGGGUUAAGUCCCAUAACGAGCGCAACCCCUACCGUUAGUUGCCAUCAGGUCAAGCUGGGCACUCUGGCGGGACUGCCGGUGUAAGCC